Molecule: non-coding RNA, 3144 nt
Organism: Meleagris gallopavo (turkey)
Lineage: Eukaryota; Metazoa; Chordata; Aves; Galliformes; Phasianidae
Source: RefSeq, a predicted model, not a curated record
AGGCAAAAAAAAAACGCAGUGCAAUACUGAUUGAGAAUAUUCCAAGAUUAUGUAGUAUUCCUGUAAAAAUAAAUAAAUAAAUAAAAAUGAAAGCAGCUACUUCAGAUCAUAACAGGAAGAUAUAGGGCAUAAAGAGUUCUGAGAAGGAAAAAUCAAAAUGUUCAUUUUCUGGUGUGCAAGAGAUUAAAAAGUAACUAUCAAUGAACAUCUUAAAUGAGAACUUUGCUUCAUUUUAAAACAGAAAGCAAUAAUCCAUCAUAUUGAGUAUGGAGUUGUGGUGGUUUUCUAUGGCAUUUCUAUGGCAUCCCCCACUGAAAACCUAGCCUGAGUAUCUGUAAAUAACCUGUCUGGGAAAUAAAAUAUUUUAAACUACCAUAACUUCAAACAAACAAACAAAAAAAAAAAAACCUCUGGACUAACAUGGGAUGGAACAGAAAUGCUUAGAUUCAGUUUUGAAGUUGUGUAAGCCAACUGAUGUAAGGUAUCCACAUGGAGAUUAAUUAUGAAAUGUCUAGUGAGCUGGAAACUCACAUGCUAACUUACUUUGAGGUAUUUCUCUAUAUAGACCAUCCCUUAGGCAGAUUCAGUCUCUCCCACAUAGCAGGUCUGAACUGCGGCCAUUUACAGUAUUUAUAAUUCAUAUUAUGUAGGCCAGUGCAAAUUGUGAAGUAUGUCUUGUACAAUCAAGCUGUAAUCAAAAUUCAUUUCCACAGACAAUCCAAGUAUUUCAGAUAAGAAUACACUUUUUCGAGUUCUUAGUAGUAAAUUCUAAGCAGUAGAUUAUCAUAUCAAGCUUCUCUAAAAUGAUAUUGAUUGUAUUUGAAUCCUAACUCAAUUAAUAUUCAUAGGAAGUAUUUGUCACUAUUUGCUCAGCUAUGACACACAAUCGAUUCGCAAUUACAUACACUUUACCUUUUAUCUUAUAGCCUGGAAAGGCUAGUAGUCCAGCUAACAUACAUAUAGGUGUUUCCUUUACUUCUCCAAUAACAAUUAAAAGUACCAAUAAAACUGACUACUUUUGAAGGUAAAACAAUGUAAGAAACACUUCUAAAAUGGUAUAGUUCUGAUACUAUCUGAUCGUGAGAAUAACAUAUUCUAAUGUAGUGGAUGACAAGACUCAACCAUGCCACACUACAAGAUCUCAAAUUGAAAUGAUUUUGUAAACAAAUUAUGAUUAUACACAGCUAAUUUAAUUAAUAUAUUAAUUUCACAAAAAUUAGUUUCACAAAAAACACAGCAUAAACAACAGAACAUCAAAAUUAUUCCUGUAGUGGUUUAGACUCAGUCAUGCACUGAAAGCAAUAAUUUCGUGCCCUUGUAAUAAAUUGUCAGUCUAACACUGACAACCAGGUUCUAAACAGCUUUAUUGCGUAUUGUAAUGUUCAGCACCAGUCAUAACAGUUUGAUUUGAUAUUCAAAGAGCAGCCACAUUUUUCCAUUGAGAUUCGAAUGUUGGUUAAUAUUAAUGUUCCCUUAAAAUUGAAGUAAUACCCAACAGUCUUCACAUUUAUUCAAUCUGAAAGCCUAGCCUUCCGAAAAGAUCAUGUCUGUGUGAUGCUACAUAUUUUUGUCCUUAGGGUUUGGAAACUGAACCUUAGAACUGCUAGAUGGAUUUGGGAAAUUUGAUCUCACUUCCUGAGCCAGUGAGCUAUAGGACGCUCAUCAUCUGAUUGGGCAGGAACUCACCUACACAGGUCAGCUUGAAGGAGACUGUAAGAAUGAGAAUGCUUAUCAACAUCAUCCCUCAGAUGUGAGGGUCUUCCCUAUAGACAGAUACAGAUUCUAGUCGCACCAAGAGCAUUCUGUAUUGGAGGGAGAACUCAUUUGUAGCAUAUUAUGGGAGCAGUGGGUCAGGUUUAGAACAAAUUCAGUGAUGUCUGAUUAUUUGAUAAAAUAACUACUGAAACAAAACACAGAAUGUGUUGAAUGACAAAAUAAAUUUAAAGCAAAUCAUACUGAUUCAUGAAUUGCACAUACUUAAAAUAAAAUUCCAUUGUUAGUUUUUACCUCAAAUAUCAAUUUGUAAAAGUGAUAGAUAAACAUGUCAAGAGCAAAAGAGAUUUGAUAUCAGCUGAUCCAUUACUUGAUUGUAUUAUGAAUAAAGUUUAAAGAACAUUUUUUACUGAUUGCAUCAGGUCAUCUAUUUACACAUCAAAGAAACAGAAAGAGAUUGGAAUCAGAGGUGACACAAAUAUACAGAACCUUUCUUCUGAAAUAACUGUGUCUGUGUUUCCAGGUAUGUACAAGCACAUCUAGAAGGAAAAAGAGAUAAUGGAUUUUCUUUUCUCUUCUGAGAUCCACAGUGACAAAGAAUUCUCCUACUGGCCAUUAGUAAUAAAUAACAUCAGGUUGACUGAGGACAUCAUAUGACAGAUAGAUCGUGGCACAUCCUAAGAAAAAAUAAACUUACAUCAAAAGACUCCAUGAGGCUCAAAUAAGACCUCAAAUCUCAGCCAAACUUUGGCAGGAAGCACUUCGAUGUGUCAGUGAACAAAGACAUGGUAAGCUCAAGUAUAAGUAAGAACACCAAUAUUAAGGACAGCAUUCUGCCUUUCACCAAACAAGACAAACAUUUUCUCUUCUUUACGUAAUGCUGUCUCUAUAGAAUAUGAAAGAAUUCCAAAACUUGACAUCUACUGCCCAAAAAAACAGAAAUUUUAGUCGUAGAUCAGAGCUAAAGGUUAGGUUAAUUCUUAUGUGAGUUUGUGUUCAAAAUGUAUAUCUGAGCAUCCAGUGGGGAUCUGUACGUUUAAUAAAACCAUCUUUUCUCACAGAGGUGAGAUGCUAAUAGAAGACAUAUAGGCAUUAAUCCUAAAGCUGGCUGUUUUAUUAAAAGACUGUUUGCUACGUGUAUUAUUAGAACAUAGCUUUAUUCAGUAAACAGUAUCUUACACAUCAACCAGACUCAAUCACACUUUCAAUUAGAGUUUUAGUAAUAGUCCUUUUGAAAUGGAAAUACCUAGUAGCAACAUGAUCAGGAAAGCAUUUUCUGAAGAUGUAUGAACAUCUUUAAACUGUAACUGUUCAGAAUGCUCUAGUCUUUAUUGUCCAUUUAUAGUACUAUCUACUAUUGUUGGGUAUUUUAUGGCAUCAUUUCUUUCUCCAAAACUAUUUCAUCCAAUUAAAAACCAUUGUUUGUUUUCA